UACGGGGGGGCAAGCGUUGUUCGGAAUUACUGGGCGUAAAGGGCUCGUAGGUGGCCAACUAAGUCAGACGUGAAAUCCCUCAGCUUAACUGGGGAACUGCGUCUGAUACUGGAUGGCUUGAGUCCGGGAGAGGUGAGUGGAAUUCCCAGUGUAGCGGUGAAAUGCGUAGAUAUUGGGAGGAACACCAGUGGCGAAGGCGGCUCACUGGACCGGAACUGACGCUGAGGCGCGAAAGCGUGGGGAGCAAACGGG
RNAcentral lists this ribosomal RNA (252 nucleotides) under uncultured bacterium. RNAcentral's name for it is "partial 16S ribosomal RNA". It matches the Rfam family "Bacterial small subunit ribosomal RNA", at positions 524 to 776 of the family's 1533-position model. The record is from RNAcentral.